AUGCAUGGCCCCGCCACCCAGCGACGUAGAGCAGACACAGGCACGAGAAUAAAUAUCAGAGAGAGAGGUAUAGAGCAGAGCAGAGCAAUGGAGUCCGACAUGGAGAUGAGCUUGGAUUUCUCUUGGGAGACGCCUAGCUUCUUCGAGCUCUGCGGCGCAGAUAGCAUGCACCUGCCGGCUGAGGACUCUCUGUCAUGUCUGUACGACGACUCGACGAGCUCGCCGGACGGCGCCAGCUCGGGGCUGACGAGGAGGUGGGCUGGGAGGAACAUGCUCAACGAGAGGGACAGGCGCAGGAGGCUUAACGAGAAGCUCUACGCCAUUCGCGGCGUCGUUCCAAACAUCACCAAGAUGAACAAGGCGUCCAUCAUCCAGGACGCCAUCGCCUACAUCGAGGAGCUGCAGGAGCAGGAGCGCCAGAUUCUCGCCGCCCCGGAACCGAUGGCUGUGCCGCCGUAGUCCAGGCGGACUCGACCGUGGACGACGGUGUCGGCUCCCCUCCACGGAAGAUUAGGAGGACUACCUCCGCCUCCUCCAUCUGUUCCCCUGCCACGCAUCCGGUCCAAAUCCUUGAGCUGGAGGUGACGCAGGUGGUGGAGGAUCUGGCAGUGGUUAACGUGAGACAUAGAAAAGCGCUGGAGGCCAUGGCGAAGGUGUAUGGGGGUGCUCGAGUUGCUCUGUCUCAAUGUCAUCACGGCAAGUGUGACCGUCGUGGCUGACAACAUUGUCCACAACAUGUUCAUCCAGACGAAUGGAAUGGAUUGUGCUCAAACGAUCAAGGAGAUGGUACAGUCUCACUCAGUCAUCUCAAUGUGAGAAGAUGAUACCCGAAGUCCAUGAAUCCCUAAUGAAGAUUAUAUGUUGCAACGAAUGCACAAAUUGGUAGCCCAAUUACCUACACCUUAUUCAAUUUCACUCUCAUACUAUAGUCAUCUUCAAAUAAGGUGACAACAGUUGAAACUAACUAUAUGAUCGAAGAAAUAGACAUGUUCUAUGGACUUAAUGCUAGUGUGCAUGCACUCCAUAUAAAUUGGAAAUGAUGCGAAAAGAUAUGGUAUAUCGUCUCUGGUUAUGAG
RNAcentral lists this ribosomal RNA (1076 nucleotides) under Triticum aestivum (bread wheat). RNAcentral describes it as "partial small subunit ribosomal RNA". The record is from RNAcentral. Lineage: Eukaryota; Viridiplantae; Streptophyta; Magnoliopsida; Poales; Poaceae.